Pelobates cultripes (western spadefoot toad) is the source of this 596-nucleotide non-coding RNA. Lineage: Eukaryota; Metazoa; Chordata; Amphibia; Anura; Pelobatidae. The record is from the annotation of a GenBank genome assembly.
CCUCUUUGAGCAAUAAAACAAUUGCUCAUCUUAUCGAUAAAAUCUUACCAGGACAGAGAAACUUCCACAUGGUAUUUUCAGGGGUGCUAGUCACUCCCUGCGGGACUUUCAUUAAUUUCUUCACCUCGAUUCCCAUGUGGUAAUUCCUAAGGCCCAGUUUAAAGAUGGGUUGAUACUCUACAGUGGCAGAGAGGAGAAUUUCUAAUUGUUUCUGUUCUGCAUUAUGGAUUAAUUUCUGUACUCACUUCCUCAAUGUACAACUAAGGUGACAGUUAUAUAAAAUCAUACACAAUAAAAUCAGGACUAUAAUAACAAAAUGAUAGAAGAAUGAUUUCAUUAUCUGGAAUCCAGUAGGGGACCAACCAGUAAAGCAUUGUACCAAUUAUGGGCUAAAUCAUUCUGAAUUUGUGAACUCACCUUAAGGAGUUCUCCUUUUAGGAUAUGUGUGGCUACCUGUGUGUGUUAUCUUUGGGAAAAAUAUAGUCCCCUGUGUAUGUGGGUGCCCACCAGGUUAAAUUCUUGGCAAAAAGAUCAUAAACUGGUACUGGUAAUGUGUUAAAUUGACAAGCUAAUUUAACAUCCUUUGAUGUUGUAUG